This 497-nucleotide ribosomal RNA is filed under the name uncultured bacterium. RNAcentral's name for it is "partial 16S ribosomal RNA". It matches the Rfam family "Bacterial small subunit ribosomal RNA", at positions 28 to 507 of the family's 1533-position model. The record is from RNAcentral.
GACGAACGCUGGCGGCGUGCCUAAUACAUGCGAGUUGAGCGAUGAAGAUUGGUGCUUGCCCCAAUUUGAAGAGCAGCGAACGGGUGAGUAACGCGUGGGGAAUCUGCCUUUGAGCGGGGGACAACAUUUGGAAACGAAUGCUAAUACCGCAUAAUAACUUUAAACAUAAGUUUUAAGUUUGAAAGAUGCAAUUGCAUCACUCAAAGAUGAUCCCGCGUUGUAUUAGCUAGUUGGUGAGGUAAAGGCUCACCAAGGCGAUGAUACAUAGCCGACCUGAGAGGGUGAUCGGCCACAUUGGGACUGAGACACGGCCCAAACUCCUACGGGAGGCAGCAGUAGGGAAUCUUCGGCAAUGGACGAAAGUCUGACCGAGCAACGCCGCGUGAGUGAAGAAGGUUUUCGGAUCGUAAAACUCUGUUGGUAGAGAAGAACGUUGGUGAGAGUGGAAAGCUCAUCAAGUGACGGUAACUACCCAGAAAGGGACGGCUAACUACGUG